RNAcentral lists this transfer RNA (73 nucleotides) under Anaerolineaceae bacterium. RNAcentral's name for it is "tRNA-Thr". It matches the Rfam family "tRNA". From Rfam's summary of the family: Transfer RNA (tRNA) molecules are approximately 80 nucleotides in length. Lineage: Bacteria; Bacillati; Chloroflexota; Anaerolineae; Anaerolineales; Anaerolineaceae. The record is from RNAcentral.
GCCACCGUAGCUCAGUCGGCAGAGCAAACGCUUCGUAAGCGUUGGGUCAAGGGUUCGACUCCCUUCGGUGGCU